GGUGGCUCAGUGGUAGAGUGCUUGCCUUGCAUGAAUGAGGCCCUGGGUUCAAUUCUCAGCACCA
Molecule: transfer RNA, 64 nt
Filed under: Dipodomys ordii (Ord's kangaroo rat)
Lineage: Eukaryota; Metazoa; Chordata; Mammalia; Rodentia; Heteromyidae
Rfam family: tRNA
About the family: Transfer RNA (tRNA) molecules are approximately 80 nucleotides in length. Their secondary structure includes four short double-helical elements and three loops (D, anti-codon, and T loops). Further hydrogen bonds mediate the characteristic L-shaped molecular structure. tRNAs have two regions of fundamental functional importance: the anti-codon, which is responsible for specific mRNA codon recognition, and the 3' end, to which the tRNAs corresponding amino acid is attached (by aminoacyl-tRNA synthetases). tRNAs cope with the degeneracy of the genetic code in two manners: having more than one tRNA (with a specific anti-codon) for a particular amino acid; and 'wobble' base-pairing, i.e. permitting non-standard base-pairing at the 3rd anti-codon position.
Source: Rfam by way of RNAcentral